UACGUAGGGUGCAAGCGUUAAUCGGAAUUGCUGGGCGUAAAGCGUGCGCAGGCGGUUUCGCAAGUCAGAUGUGAAAUCCCCGGGCUUAACCUGGGAACUGCAUUUGAAACUACGAGGCUAGAGUAUGUCAGAGGGGGGUAGAAUUCCACGUGUAGCGGUGAAAUGCGUAGAGAUGUGGAGGAAUACCGAUGGCGAAGGCAGCCCCCUGGGAUAACACUGACGCUGAUGCACGAAAGCGUGGGGAGCAAACAGG
This 253-nucleotide ribosomal RNA is filed under the name uncultured bacterium. Its description in RNAcentral is "partial 16S ribosomal RNA". It matches the Rfam family "Bacterial small subunit ribosomal RNA", at positions 524 to 776 of the family's 1533-position model. The record is from RNAcentral.